This 1421-nucleotide ribosomal RNA is filed under the name uncultured bacterium. RNAcentral's name for it is "partial 16S ribosomal RNA". It matches the Rfam family "Bacterial small subunit ribosomal RNA". The record is from RNAcentral.
UAGAGUUUGAUCCUGGCUCAGGAUGAACGCUGGCUGUGUGCCUAAUACAUGCAUGUCGAGCGGAAGUAGCAAUACUUUAGCGGCGAAUGGGUGAGUAACACGUGCUUAAUCUACCUCUUAGAUUGGAAUACCUAAUGGAAACAUUGGUUAAUGCCGGAUACGCAUGGAGUCGCAUGACUCCGUUGUGAAAGGGGCCUUUAAAGCUCCACUAAGAGAUGAGGGUGCGGAACAUUAGCUAGUUGGUGAGGUAACGGCCCACCAAGGCUAUGAUGUUUAGCCGGGUCGAGAGACUGAACGGCCACAUUGGGACUGAGAUACGGCCCAAACUCCUACGGGAGGCAGCAGUAGGGAAUAUUCCACAAUGAGCGAAAGCUUGAUGGAGCGACACAGCGUGCACGAUGAAGGUCUUAUGGAUUGUAAAGUGCUGUUGCAAGGGAAGAAAAAGUAGUUGAGGAAAUGCUUCUACAUUGACGGUACCUUGUUAGAAAGCGAUGGCUAACUAUGUGCCAGCAGCCGCGGUAAUACAUAGGUCGCAAGCGUUAUCCGGAAUUAUUGGGCGUAAAGCGUUCGUAGGCUGUUUAUUAAGUCUGGAGUCAAAUCCCAGGGCUCAACCCUGGCUCGCUUUGGAUACUGGUAAACUAGAGUUGGAUAGAGGUAAGCGGAAUUCCAUGUGAAGCGGUGAAAUGCGUAGAUAUAUGGAAGAACACCAAAGGCGAAGGCAGCUUACUGGGUUUAUACUGACGCUGAGGAACGAAAGCGUGGGAGCAAACAGGAUUAGAUACCCUGGUAGUCCACGCCGUAAACGAUGAUCAUUAGUCGGCAGAGAACUGUUGACGCAGCUAACGCAUUAAAUGAUCCGCCUGAGUAGUAUGCUCGCAAGAGUAAAACUUAAAGGAAUUGACGGGGACCCGCACAAGCGGUGGAGCAUGUGGUUUAAUUUGAAGAUACGCGGAGAACCUUACCCACUCUUGACAUCCUUCGCAAAGCUAUAGAGAUAUAGUGGAGGUUAACGGAGUGACAGAUGGUGCAUGGUUGUCGUCAGCUCGUGUCGUGAGAUGUUUGGUCAAGUCCUGCAACGAGCGCAACCCCUAUCUUUAGUUACUAACGAGUCAUGUCGAGGACUCUAGAGAUACUGCCUGGGUAACUGGGAGGAAGGUGGGGAUGACGUCAAAUCAUCAUGCCUCUUACGAGUGGGGCAACACACGUGCUACAAUGGUCGGUACAAAGAGAAGCAAUAUGGUGACAUGGAGCAAAUCUCAAAAAGCCGAUCUCAGUUCGGAUUGAAGUCUGCAAUUCGACUUCAUGAAGUCGGAAUCGCUAGUAAUCGCAGAUCAGCUAUGCUGCGGUGAAUACGUUCUCGGGUCUUGUACACACCGCCCGUCACACCAUGGGAGCUGGUAAUACCCAAAGUCGGUUUGCUA